GCAGACGCUGGCGGCAGGCUUACACAUGCAAGUCCAGCGCCCCGCAAGGGGAGCGGCAGACGGGUGAGUAACGCGUGGGAAUCUACCUUUUGCUACGGAAUAACGCAGGGAAACUUGUGCUAAUACCGUAUGUGUCCUUCGGGAGAAAGAUUUAUCGGCAAGAGAUGAGCCCGCGUUGGAUUAGCUAGUUGGUGGGGUAAAGGCCUACCAAGGCGACGAUCCAUAGCUGGUCUGAGAGGAUGAUCAGCCACAUUGGGACUGAGACACGGCCCAAACUCCUACGGGAGGCAGCAGUGGGGAAUAUUGGACAAUGGGCGCAAGCCUGAUCCAGCCAUGCCGCGUGAGUGAUGAAGGCCCUAGGGUUGUAAAGCUCUUUCACCGGAGAAGAUAAUGACGGUAUCCGGAGAAGAAGCCCCGGCUAACUUCGUGCCAGCAGCCGCGGUAAUACGAAGGGGGCUAGCGUUGUUCGGAAUUACUGGGCGUAAAGCGCACGUAGGCGGAUCGAUCAGUCAGGGGUGAAAUCCCAGGGCUCAACCCUGGAACUGCCUUUGAUACUGUCGAUCUGGAGUAUGGAAGAGGUGAGUGGAAUUCCGAGUGUAGAGGUGAAAUUCGUAGAUUUCGGAGGAACACCAGUGGCGAGCGCUCACUGUCCAUUACUGACGCUGAGUGCGAAAGCGUGGGGAGCAAACAGAUUAGAUACCCUGGUAGUCCACGCCGUAACGAUGAAUGUUAG
Molecule: ribosomal RNA, 733 nt
Filed under: Martinezella tropici
Lineage: Bacteria; Pseudomonadati; Pseudomonadota; Alphaproteobacteria; Hyphomicrobiales; Rhizobiaceae
Description: bacterial SSU rRNA
Rfam family: Bacterial small subunit ribosomal RNA
Source: RNAcentral